AAUAUUUUAUUUUAAAAAGAAUUUUUUUUUUUGAUGAAAAAGGUAAAAAUAUUU
Molecule: transfer RNA, 54 nt
Filed under: Meloidogyne enterolobii
Lineage: Eukaryota; Metazoa; Nematoda; Chromadorea; Rhabditida; Meloidogynidae
Description: tRNA-Gln
Source: RNAcentral